Molecule: ribosomal RNA, 403 nt
Filed under: uncultured bacterium
Lineage: Bacteria
Description: partial 16S ribosomal RNA
Rfam family: Bacterial small subunit ribosomal RNA
Source: RNAcentral
AUUGAACGCUGGCGGCAGGCCUAACACAUGCAAGUCGAGCGAGCGGCGGACGGGGGAGUACUGUAUGGGGACUGCCCGAUAGAGGAGGAUCACUACUUGAAACAGUAGCUAAUACCGCAUACUAUCGGAUAACCCAUAUGGGAUUAGCUCUUAGUUGAGGUAAUGGCUCACCUAGGCGCCGAUCCCUAGCUGGUCUGAUCGGAUGAUCAGCCACACUGGGACGUAGACACGGCCCAGACGCCUACGGAGGCAGCAGUGGGGAAUAUGGCACAAUGGGCGCAAGCCUGAUGCAGCCAUGCCGCGUGUAUGAAGAAGGCCCUAGGGUUGUAAAGUACUGUCAGUCGGGAGGCGUUACCGACAGAAGAAGCACCGGCUAACUCCGUGCCAGCAGCCGCGGUAAUAC